CCGCGUGAGUGAAGAAGGGUUUCGGCUCGUAAAACUCUGUUGUUAAAGAAGAACAUAUCUGAGAGUAACUGUUCAGGUAUUGACGGUAUUUAACCAGAAAGCCACGGCUAACUACGUGCCAGCAGCCGCGGUAAUACGUAGGUGGCAAGCGUUGUCCGGAUUUAUUGGGCGUAAAGCGAGCGCAGGCGGUUUUUUAAGUCUGAUGUGAAAGCCUUCGGCUUAACCGAAGAAGUGCAUCGGAAACUGGGAAACUUGAGUGCAGAAGAGGACAGUGGAACUCCAUGUGUAGCGGUGAAAUGCGUAGAUAUAUGGAAGAACACCAGUGGCGAAGGCGGCUGUCUGGUCUGUAACUGACGCUGAGGCUCGAAAGUAUGGGUAGCAAACAGGAUUAGAUACCCUGGUAGUCCAUACCGUAAACGAUGAAUGCUAAGUGUUGGAGGGUUUCCGCCCUUCAGUGCUGCAGCUAACGCAUUAAGCAUUCCGCCUGGGGAGUACGGCCGCAAGGCUGAAACUCAAAGGAAUUGACGGGGGCCCGCACAAGCGGUGGAGCAUGUGGUUUAAUUCGAAGCUACGCGAAGAACCUUACCAGGUCU
This 593-nucleotide ribosomal RNA is filed under the name Lactiplantibacillus plantarum. RNAcentral describes it as "bacterial SSU rRNA". It matches the Rfam family "Bacterial small subunit ribosomal RNA", at positions 397 to 981 of the family's 1533-position model. Lineage: Bacteria; Bacillati; Bacillota; Bacilli; Lactobacillales; Lactobacillaceae. The record is from RNAcentral.